UACAUAGGUCUCAAGCGUUGUUCGGAAUCACUGGGCUUAAAGGGCGCGUAGGCGGGCUGCCAAGUUUGGGGUGAAAUCCUCCGGCUCAACCGGGGAAGGGCCUCGAAUACUGGCGGUCUGGAGGGAGGUAGGGGCGUGCGGAACUGUAGGUGGAGCGGUGAAAUGCGUUGAUAUCUACAGGAACUCCGGUGGCGAAGGCGGCACGCUGGACCUUUUCUGACGCUGAGGCGCGAAAGCCAGGGGAGCGAACGGG
RNAcentral lists this ribosomal RNA (253 nucleotides) under uncultured bacterium. RNAcentral's name for it is "partial 16S ribosomal RNA". It matches the Rfam family "Bacterial small subunit ribosomal RNA", at positions 524 to 776 of the family's 1533-position model. The record is from RNAcentral.